Molecule: ribosomal RNA, 253 nt
Filed under: uncultured bacterium
Lineage: Bacteria
Description: partial 16S ribosomal RNA
Rfam family: Bacterial small subunit ribosomal RNA
Source: RNAcentral
UACGGAGGGAGCUAGCGUUGUUCGGAAUUACUGGGCGUAAAGCACACGUAGGCGGCUUUGUAAGUUAGGGGUGAAAGCCUGGAGCUCAACUCCGGAAUUGCCUUUAAGACUGCAUCGCUUGAAUCCGGGAGAGGUGAGUGGAAUUCCCGGUGUAGAGGUGAAAUUCGUAGAUAUCGGGAGGAACACCGGUGGCGAAGGGGGCGACCUGGGUGGAUACUGACGCUGAGGCGCGAAAGCGUGGGGAGCAAACAGG